UCCAGGAUAGCCUAGUGGACAUGGCACCUGCCCGGUAAGCAGAAGGUUAUGGGUUCGAUUUCCCGCUCCUGGAC
This 74-nucleotide transfer RNA is filed under the name Cordylochernes scorpioides. Its description in RNAcentral is "tRNA-Thr". It matches the Rfam family "tRNA". From Rfam's summary of the family: Transfer RNA (tRNA) molecules are approximately 80 nucleotides in length. Lineage: Eukaryota; Metazoa; Arthropoda; Arachnida; Pseudoscorpiones; Chernetidae. The record is from RNAcentral.